RNAcentral lists this ribosomal RNA (403 nucleotides) under Fusobacteriota bacterium. RNAcentral's name for it is "Fusobacteria bacterium partial 16S ribosomal RNA". It matches the Rfam family "Bacterial small subunit ribosomal RNA", at positions 355 to 776 of the family's 1533-position model. The record is from RNAcentral. Lineage: Bacteria; Fusobacteriati; Fusobacteriota.
UGGGGAAUAUUGCCCAAUGGAGGGAACUCUGAUGCAGCGACGCCGCGUGAACGAAGAAGGCUUUCGAGUCGUAAAGUUCUUUUAUAUGGGAAGAUAAUGACGGUACCAUAAGAAAAAGCCCCGGCUAACUACGUGCCAGCAGCCGCGGUAAUACGUAGGGGGCUAGCGUUGUCCGGAAUCACUGGGCGUAAAGGGUUCGCAGGCGGAAAUGCAAGUCAGGUGUAAAAGGCAGUAGCUUAACUACUGUAAGCAUUUGAAACUGCAUAUCUUGAGAAGAGUAGAGGUAAGUGGAAUUUUUAGUGUAGCGGUGAAAUGCGUAGAUAUUAAAAAGAAUACCGGUGGCGAAGGCGACUUACUGGGCUCAUUCUGACGCUGAGGAACGAAAGCGUGGGUAGCAAACAGG